This 254-nucleotide ribosomal RNA is filed under the name uncultured bacterium. RNAcentral describes it as "partial 16S ribosomal RNA". It matches the Rfam family "Bacterial small subunit ribosomal RNA", at positions 524 to 776 of the family's 1533-position model. The record is from RNAcentral.
UACGGGGGGAGCAAGCGUUGUUCGGAUUUACUGGGCGUAAAGGGCGCGUAGGCGGUCAACACAAGUCGGUUGUGAAAUCUCCGGGCUUAACUCGGAAAGGUCAACUGAUACUGUGCGACUAGAGUGCAGAAGGGGCAACUGGAAUUCUCGGUGUAGCGGUGAAAUGCGUAGAUAUCGAGAGGAACACCUGCGGCGAAGGCGGGUUGCUGGGCUGACACUGACGCUGAUGCGCGAAAGCCAGGGGAGCGAACGGG